GAUGAAGAACGCAGCGAAAUGCGAAAAGUAAUGUGAAUUGCAGAAUUCAGUGAAUCAUCGAAUCUUUGAACGCACAUUGCGCCCGCCAGUAUUCUGGCGGGCAUGCCUGUUCGAGCGUCAUUUCAACCAUCAAGCCCCCGGCUUGUGUUGGGGACCUGCGGCUGCCGCAGGCCCUGAAAAGCAGUGGCGGGCUCGCUGUCACACCGAGCGUAGUAGCAUACAUCUCGCUCUGGGCGUGCUGCGGGUUCCGGCCGUUAAACCACCUUCAUAACCCAAGGUUGACCUCGGAUCAGGUAGGAAGACCCGCUGAACUUAAGCAUAUCAAUAAGCGGAGGA
RNAcentral lists this unclassified non-coding RNA (336 nucleotides) under soil metagenome. Its description in RNAcentral is "partial contains 5.8S ribosomal RNA, internal transcribed spacer 2, and large subunit ribosomal RNA". The stretch from base 1 to 120 matches the Rfam family "5.8S ribosomal RNA", at positions 35 to 154 of the family's 154-position model. The record is from RNAcentral.